CUGGUGUAUCUGCUGCGAAGGCAAUCGCAUAAGGCAGGGUAGCCAAGUCUGGCAGGGAUAAACGCUGAAGGCAUCUAAGCGUGAAGCCCCCCUCAAGAUGAGAUAUCCCCACGCAAGUGGUAAGACCCCUUGGAGAGUACGAGGUUGAUAGGCACAAGGUGUAAGAGUGGUAACAUUCUCAGCUGAUGUGUACUAAUAGGUCGAGGACUUAACCA
Molecule: ribosomal RNA, 215 nt
Filed under: Butyrivibrio sp. TB
Lineage: Bacteria; Bacillati; Bacillota; Clostridia; Lachnospirales; Lachnospiraceae
Description: 23S rRNA. Bacterial LSU
Rfam family: Bacterial large subunit ribosomal RNA
Source: RNAcentral